Molecule: long non-coding RNA, 386 nt
Filed under: Mytilus galloprovincialis (Mediterranean mussel)
Lineage: Eukaryota; Metazoa; Mollusca; Bivalvia; Mytilida; Mytilidae
Source: RNAcentral
GAUAAAAACAGUAAACACUUUACCAAGGUUAUAAUUUGAUAAAAACAGUGAAACUUCCCCCAGGUUAAAAUUUGAUAAAAACAGUAAAACAUCCCCAGGGUAAAAUUUGAUAAAACAGUAAAACAUCUGCCAGGUUAAAAUUUGAUAAAAACAGUAAAAACUGCCUCCAGAAUAAAGUUUGAUCCAAAAAAAAAACUUCCCCAAGGUUAAAAUUUGAUAAAAACAGUAAAUUAUCCCCCAGGGUAAAACUUGAUAAAACAGUAAAACAUCUGCCAGGUUAAAAUUUGAUAAAAACAGUAAAAACUGCCUCCAGAAUAAAAUUUGAUUAAAAAGUAAAACUUCCCCAAGGUUAAAAUUUAAUAAAAACAGUAAAAACUGCCACCAGA